AUCACUUCUCGGCCUUUUGGCUAAGAUCAAGUGUAGUACAAGUCAAAGCUUGCUUGUCUGGCAGUGAAGGGAGAAAUUUCAAUGAUCCAUUAAACUUUAUAGUUGUCAAGCAUGAAUUCAAUUACUUCUUUACUUUCUAUGUUUCCUGUUGAUACAGACAAUAGGAAUGAAGUG
RNAcentral lists this small nuclear RNA (174 nucleotides) under Cervus elaphus hippelaphus. Its description in RNAcentral is "U2 spliceosomal RNA". It matches the Rfam family "U2 spliceosomal RNA". From Rfam's summary of the family: U2 is a small nuclear RNA (snRNA) component of the spliceosome (involved in pre-mRNA splicing). Complementary binding between U2 snRNA (in an area lying towards the 5' end but 3' to hairpin I) and the branchpoint sequence (BPS) of the intron results the bulging out of an unpaired adenosine, on the BPS, which initiates a nucleophilic attack at the intronic 5' splice site, thus starting the first of two transesterification reactions that mediate splicing. RNAcentral also lists the same sequence under 1 other name. Lineage: Eukaryota; Metazoa; Chordata; Mammalia; Artiodactyla; Cervidae. The record is from Rfam by way of RNAcentral.